CUUAUUCUGUAAGCGAGCAAUUCCACUUCUGGAUAUGUGGAUGAAUUAUUGCAUUUGAAUACAGGAGAUAUGUAUAAGAAUGUUUAUUGUAACAUAAUUUAUAAUCAUGAAGGGUUGAGGACAAACCAAAUGUCUAUAAAUUGGAUAAACUAUAUGGUACCAGUUAUAAUGCAUGGACUCUGCCACCAUAUUUAUCUUUCUAUAUUAGUGUAGAAAUAUCUCAAAAGCAAAAUAGAGAAUGAAAAUGAAAAAUGAACAUCACUAAGUAUGGUGUCAUAUCGGACUACAGGCACCUGCUACCACGCCCGGAUUUUUUUUUUUUUUUUUCAGUAGAGACGGGGAUUGGGAUUCAUCAUAUUGGCCAGGCUAGUCUUGAACUCCUGACCUUGUGAUCUGUCUACCUCAGCCUCCCACAGUGCUGGGAUUACAGGCAUGAGACACCAUGCCCAGCCGACCUAUUAUUCUGUAUGUUCUUUUGAGCACUCCUCCUGUCUUUAUGGAACUCCAGUGACUAUAUAAUGAGGCUUUUGAGCCUGGCUGGUGGAAACAGGCACCAUUCCCAACUCUAUGUAAGCACCAAGUACUGUGUAAGCCAAGACAAUAUAAUCGAGAUGCGUCAUUUUGCUGCUUCAGCCACAUCCUUUAGUGAAGAACUAAAUAGAAUUUUCGGGCACUGACUGUCAGGCUAUGACCAUUUUGUGUCCUUCUCUUUGCUGUUCUCAUGAAAGUACAUUCCAGAAUAAUCUCAACUCAACAAGUAGACACUUAGGAUUUAUGUUACAUAUCAUUUCUAACGAUUUAGGCUGAAAUUUGGG
RNAcentral lists this long non-coding RNA (815 nucleotides) under Pan troglodytes (chimpanzee). RNAcentral's name for it is "long non-coding RNA NONPTRT013400". Lineage: Eukaryota; Metazoa; Chordata; Mammalia; Primates; Hominidae. The record is from RNAcentral.